UACGGGGGGGGCAAGCGUUGUUCGGAAUUACUGGGCGUAAAGCGCGUGUAGGCGGCCGGCUAGGUCUGGUGUGAAAACUCGAGGCUCAACCUCGAGAUGUCGCCGGAAACCAGUCGGCUAGAGUCCGGAAGAGGAGAGUGGAAUUCCUGGUGUAGCGGUGAAAUGCGCAGAUAUCAGGAAGAACACCUAUGGCGAAAGCAGCUCUCUGGGACGGUACUGACGCUGAGACGCGAAAGCGUGGGGAGCGAACAGG
RNAcentral lists this ribosomal RNA (253 nucleotides) under uncultured bacterium. Its description in RNAcentral is "partial 16S ribosomal RNA". It matches the Rfam family "Bacterial small subunit ribosomal RNA", at positions 524 to 776 of the family's 1533-position model. The record is from RNAcentral.